This 103-nucleotide transfer RNA is filed under the name Aspergillus nomiae NRRL 13137. RNAcentral describes it as "Aspergillus nomius NRRL 13137 tRNA". It matches the Rfam family "tRNA". Rfam says of the family: Transfer RNA (tRNA) molecules are approximately 80 nucleotides in length. Their secondary structure includes four short double-helical elements and three loops (D, anti-codon, and T loops). Lineage: Eukaryota; Fungi; Ascomycota; Eurotiomycetes; Eurotiales; Aspergillaceae. The record is from Rfam by way of RNAcentral.
GGCACUAUGGCGGAGUGGUUAACGCGGUGCCCUGCUAUACCCAUGACAUGGAUUAGCCUAGGCAUUCCCUUCGGGGGCGUGAGUUCGAAUCUCACUGGUGUCG